CCUACGGGAGGCAGCAGUGGGGAAUAUUGGACAAUGGGGGCAACCCUGAUCCAGCCAUGCCGCGUGUGUGAAGAAGGCCCUCGGGUUGUAAAGCACUUUCAGUGAGGAAGAACACCUGGUGGUUAAUACCCAUCAGGAAAGACAUCACUCACAGAAGAAGCACCGGCUAACUCCGUGCCAGCAGCCGCGGUAAUACGGAGGGUGCGAGCGUUAAUCGGAAUUACUGGGCGUAAAGCGCGCGUAGGUGGCUUGAUAAGCCGGUUGUGAAAGCCCCGGGCUCAACCUGGGAACGGCAUCCGGAACUGUCAAGCUAGAGUGCAGGAGAGGAAGGUAGAAUUCCCGGUGUAGCGGUGAAAUGCGUAGAGAUCGGGAGGAAUACCAGUGGCGAAGGCAGCCUUCUGGACUGACACUGACACUGAGGUGCGAAAGCGUGGGUAGCAAACAGGAUUAGAUACCCCUGUAGUC
Molecule: ribosomal RNA, 465 nt
Filed under: Vreelandella stevensii
Lineage: Bacteria; Pseudomonadati; Pseudomonadota; Gammaproteobacteria; Oceanospirillales; Halomonadaceae
Description: partial 16S ribosomal RNA
Rfam family: Bacterial small subunit ribosomal RNA
Source: RNAcentral